AGUGAACGCUGGCGGUAGGCCUAACACAUGCAAGUCGAACGGCAGCACAGUAAGAGCUUGCUCUUACGGGUGGCGAGUGGCGGACGGGUGAGGAAUACAUCGGAAUCUACUUUUUCGUGGGGGAUAACGUAGGGAAACUUACGCUAAUACCGCAUACGACCUACGGGUGAAAGCAGGGGAUCUUCGGACCUUGCGCGAUUGAAUGAGCCGAUGUCGGAUUAGCUAGUUGGCGGGGUAAAGGCACACCAAGGCGACGAUCCGUAGCUGGUCUAAGAGGAUGAUCAGCCACACUGGAACUGAGACACGGUCCAGACUCCUACGGGAGGCAGCAGUGGGGAAUAUUGGACAAUGGGCGCAAGCCUGAUCCAGCCAUACCGCGUGGGUGAAGAAGGCCUUCGGGUUGUAAAGCCCUUUUGUUGGGAAAGAAAAGCAGCAGGUUAAUACCCCGCUGUUCUGACGGUACCCAAAGAAUAAGCACCGGCUAACUUCGUG
Molecule: ribosomal RNA, 492 nt
Filed under: uncultured bacterium
Lineage: Bacteria
Description: partial 16S ribosomal RNA
Rfam family: Bacterial small subunit ribosomal RNA
Source: RNAcentral